GGCUUCUCCCUCCCCUGCCCUUGGCCCUGCUCUUCCUUCUCCCAUGCUUCUCCAGCUGUUUCUUAAGCUUUGCAGAUUGCUCCAUGGCAGGCCCUUGUUUUGUGCUGAUGAUCGCCUCUGCUGGUCUGGCUCCCUGACUGCUCAGUUGUGUUAAAAAUCACUGUGAGGAGUCUUUCCACAUCUCCCAAGUGUGAAAGAAACCUACACUCACAGAUGCAAUUCGUUGGCUGGGCUUUGUUGAGGAUGGAUGGCCAAGUUCCACAACAAUGUGGCCGUUUGUCCAUCAAAAAUCUGAAUCUAGAAGAUGGAAGUGACUGGCAACCAGGCCCUGCCUCCUUUGAUCCUGAGAUUUUGGGGGGCAUUUUUCUUUAAAUGUGCUUCUAUCUUUGAUCUUAUUCAGUUCUCCUGACCCAAAGGUGACUGAUUUCCCCAGGGCAUCAGGACAGAGUAGAGAGGUAGGAUACAGAUAUGGACUUUUUUGCUGCACACUCUGCCAAGAUACAUUCUCG
RNAcentral lists this long non-coding RNA (509 nucleotides) under Cricetulus griseus (Chinese hamster). RNAcentral's name for it is "lncRNA (ENSCGRG00015029855.1)". The record is from RNAcentral. Lineage: Eukaryota; Metazoa; Chordata; Mammalia; Rodentia; Cricetidae.